GGGGACGUAGCUUAGCGGCCAGAGCGGGGGCCUCCAAAGCCUCUGGCGUCGGUUCAAACCCGACCGUCCCCA
RNAcentral lists this transfer RNA (72 nucleotides) under Archaeoglobales archaeon. RNAcentral's name for it is "tRNA-Trp". It matches the Rfam family "tRNA". Rfam says of the family: Transfer RNA (tRNA) molecules are approximately 80 nucleotides in length. Lineage: Archaea; Methanobacteriati; Methanobacteriota; Archaeoglobi; Archaeoglobales. The record is from RNAcentral.